This 1560-nucleotide ribosomal RNA is filed under the name Ostreococcus mediterraneus. RNAcentral describes it as "partial Bacterial large subunit ribosomal RNA". It matches the Rfam family "Bacterial large subunit ribosomal RNA", at positions 1131 to 2905 of the family's 2925-position model. The record is from RNAcentral. Lineage: Eukaryota; Viridiplantae; Chlorophyta; Mamiellophyceae; Mamiellales; Bathycoccaceae.
AGCGUAAUAGCUCACUAGUCGAGGAAAAAAGCACUGACAAUGUAUCGGGGCUCAACUUAUUUACCGAAGCAAUGUAGAAAGAGGUAGCGAAGCGUUUUGUAAACCGAUGAAGAUGUCUUGUGAAAGAUAUUGGAGGAUUCAAAAGUGAAUAUACUGACAUGAGUAACGAAAAAAUCAUGUGAAAAUCAUGAUCGCCGUAAGUUCAAGGGUUUCUGCGGUCCGCUUCUCGGCGCAGAGUGAAUCGGCUUCUAAAUUUCAUGUGAAAACAUUGAAAUGAUGAACUUCAUCAAACUGACAAAUUGCAAUAAAAAAAUAACCAAAUUGGAUAGGAAAUUUUUAUGUUCAAUUUCAGGAAAAAGUUUGAUAUUUAAUAACCGUACCCAAAACCGACACUGGUGAACAAGUCGAAUAGACUCAGGCGUUGAGAUAACCAUGCUGAAGGAACUCGGCAAAAUAUUCCCGUACCUUAGGAAGAAGGGAAACCAAAUAUUGGUGACACAAAAAUGAGGGUGACGACUUUUUACUAAAAAAUUAGGACUCUGCAAAAUGGUAACAUGAAGUAUAGGGUCUGACGUCUGCCCGGUGCUAGAAGCUUAAGAGGAGAGUUGAAAGAUUUGAAUUCAAGGCCUAGUAAACGGCGGUUGUAACAAUAACAAUCAUAAAGUAGCGAAAUUCCUUGCCAGCUAAUUCCUGGCCUGCAUGAAAGACGUAACGAUUGCCCUACUGUCUCCAGCAUGGACUCAGUGAAAUUGAAUUUUCCGUGAAGAUGCGGAAAUCGUGCCCCAAGACGAGAAGACCCUAUGCAUCUUUACUGUACAUUUACAUUGAACAAAGAACUUAAGUAUGUAGGAAAGGUGGGAGUGCUUACAUCCUUGAAAUACCACCUUCUUGAGUUCUUCAUUCUUAUUUGCAUGGCAAAAAAAGUGUAUAUGAGGCAGUUUGACUGGGGCGGUCGCCUCCUAAAGAGUAACGGAGGCGUACGAAGGUAAACUCAAUGAAAGUUGGAAACUUUCUGAAGAAUGUAAUGGUAAAAGUUUGCCUGACUGCAAGACUCAACAAGUCGAGCAGAGACGAAAGUCGGUCAUAGUGAUCCAAAAGUACCGCGUGGAAGGGCUUUUGCUUAACGAAUCAAAGAUACGCUAGGGAUAACAGGCUAAUAAUUCCCAAGAGUCCUUAUCGACGGAAUUGUUUGGCACCUCGAUGUUGACUGAUCAUAUCCUGGGGCUGAAGAAGGUCCCAAGGGUUCGGCUGUUCGCCGAUGAAAAUGGUACCUGAGUUGAGUUUAGAACGUCGUGAGACAGUUUGGAUUCUACCUGGGGUGCGCGUAAGAAUUGAGAAAACUACUUCUUUGUACGAGAGGACCGGAAGUAUUCAACCUCUGGUGGACUGGUUGUUAAGCCAUUAGCAUUGCCAGGAAGCUACGUUGAGACAGGAGAACCGUUGAAAGCAUAUGAAACGGGAAACUUUUUUCAAGACAAAUUCUUUUUUUUCGUGAAAGAUUCUCACGUUGAUAGGCGAAAUGUGUACAAUUUGUAAAAAUUCUAGCUUUUUCGUACUAAA